UACGUAGGUGGCAAGCGUUGUCCGGAAUUAUUGGGCGUAAAGCGCGCGCAGGCGGCCUCUUAAGUCUGAUGUGAAAGCUCCCGGCUCAACCGGGGAGGGCCAUUGGAAACUGGGAGGCUUGAGUAUAGGAGAGAAGAGUGGAAUUCCACGUGUAGCGGUGAAAUGCGUAGAGAUGUGGAGGAACACCAGUGGCGAAGGCGACUCUUUGGCCUAUAACUGACGCUGAGGCGCGAAAGCGUGGGGAGCAAACAGGG
This 254-nucleotide ribosomal RNA is filed under the name uncultured bacterium. RNAcentral's name for it is "partial 16S ribosomal RNA". It matches the Rfam family "Bacterial small subunit ribosomal RNA", at positions 524 to 777 of the family's 1533-position model. The record is from RNAcentral.